This is a long non-coding RNA of Sorghum bicolor (sorghum), 2722 nucleotides long. RefSeq lists it as uncharacterized. Lineage: Eukaryota; Viridiplantae; Streptophyta; Magnoliopsida; Poales; Poaceae. The transcript is spliced from 5 exons. The record is from RefSeq and is a predicted model, not a curated record.
GGUCUCCAGCUGCCUAUCGGCCUGCCUCCGACUCCCGUGGUCAACCUGCGGUCAGAAAUUCCUCCCACGCCGCAUCCCCUCUCCACAAGGAACCGCAUCCCCUCUCCACGCCGCAUCCCCUCGGCGACGAUCUCCACGACGGCCUACGAGAUCGACUCCGGAUUCGCGCCUGAGUGACGGCGCGGCUUCGGCCAGUCACCUGCUCCGGUCCUGCCUCACCUGACCGAGUCGUGCUCGUGCGCGCCGACCAGUCGACGGACGACGACCGAGCCGCACUCGUGCGCAGCAGGUGGAGGAGGACUGGGUCGUCGCGGAACCCGGCUUCUACGACGCCCAGCCUCACAUCCGCCUCCUCAGCUCCGCCUCUCUCGCACUGCCUCCCGCACCGUCUCCCCUUGCAUCGCAGCCCCACCUCCCUCCGUCGUUCCUGGCCAUUGGCCUUCUUCUCCGACGCCGGAUACACUCGUGAAGAGGAAGGAGGACCCGCAGCGGCGUCCGUCCCACUGCCCUGCACCUCCCGUCCAGCCGGUGAGCGACGGCGCGCGCGAAUCCGCCUCUCCGACGCCAGCUACGCUCGUGAGGAGGGAGGAGGAGCCACAACUCGUGGAUCAAGGGGCAGCAGCGUCCGUCCCACCGCCCUGCACCUCUGGAGUCGAAGCGACAUCCGAGUGGAGGGGACGGCGUAGGCAGAGCAUCGUCCCAGAGGCAUAGCAGCGUCCGAGCAGAGGAGGCGGCAGAGGCAGAGCCGCUUCCCAGCUACGGACGCGAAGCAGCAACGACGACGUCAGCUAACCUGCCCCUGUCCUGCUGGUGCUCCUCUUAGUUCUGCAUCAUACUUUUCUUCUCCGUGGAACCCACCCUCGUGAGCUGCUGCCACCAGGCGGAGCUAGCCAUUGAAAUUUUGAGUAACCUCAUCAAAAAAGGCGCCAGGGUCAUCCUCUCAACUCAAGCCACUUGGCUCCUUCCUUUGAUUAGGACUAUCAGCAUAUCGAGAUCCUAGCAGCAACAGUUGAGGACACACUUAUCACAUCGGUGCCGCCUAGCUUAUAUCUUUCAUACACCAAAUCUGAUCCAUUUGAAGUUAAGACAUUUCUUAGCAUCCAGAAAAAAUUGAGAUAUUUCUUUCUUUUUAGGGCUUCAUGUUUUGCUAGAACAACUCCUCAAGGUUAGAAGUAUUGUGGAUAAUUUGGUUUUUGGCUUGAGAGCUUGAUUUGCACUUUCACAAGGUUUGCAGUUGUCUAUGAGGUAGGUGGUAGCAUGGAGUUGAAUUUCUCAGGAUGAAAGGGAAAAGGGUGACCAUAGAAAGGAAUAAAUAUUGUAGCAAACUCCCUUACUCAUAUGUGUAAUACUACAUUACAUUAUGUGAGCCUAUCUUUUAACUCAGUUCAUCUAUUAUUCUGUUUGUCCUCUGAGCGUUGUCUCUUCCUGAUGAUCUCCGGCUCAACAUUAAACUGAACUCCGUUUUGUCAUAGGAUUUGUAGGCAAAAUACUUAUGCAGCUUGAUUUUCAUCUAUAGCGCUUUAGAUUCAGGGAAUUUAUGAGAGGUCUGUUGAAUAUCUUUUGCUGCAUGGGUUGCAUAUGAAUAUUUUUCUUAAUGUGGUAGGUUGCAUUCAAGAAAAGUCAGAGACGUCCAAAUAUUGUCCAAUUCAUUGUUUAGUGUUUAUUAGCACUUGUGUUGAUGCCAUUUUAGAUUUCAAUUUUUUCCUACAUUUGAAUAAGGAUCUGGUAGAAUAAUUGCAAAUUGUCAUUUUUGAAGAACUCAAGAUACUUGAAAAGGACUUUUCUCACACAUCUUUGAUUCACAGUUUCCUUUUCUCAUGUCUUGAGUUCUUUUUUAAAUCAUAGAUCAUUUAAUCAAAUUUCUUUGUUGCAGACAGGCCACAGUUCAGUUUAGAUUUCUUGUUCCAUUGUUUAGGGUGCUAGGAAGAACUAGGGUGCCAUGUCUUUCUGAUUCCAUCGGUGAUCGGUACAUCAAUAUUUUUGCUAAGGUGAACCAUCAAGGUAAACAUGCCCCAUUCUCCUAUGCUUUAUCUCUUAAAUUUUAUACAUGUCUUGUAUAUAUUGAUUUUAAAAAAUGAGAAUGACCUAAUUAUGUAGCACUAUAUUGCCGUUAUUUUCUCCAAUUUCCUCCUUUUGUAAUCUGACCAAGUUGUUACGAUUUAAAUAUAUGAUUCAUUUAAUUGCUCUUAUUAUGGUUGGCGGUUGCACAAUAUGUGUGUUAGAUCAUCUCCGUCUCCCUAUGGAAGGCAGCCGAUGGCAGCAAGAGUGGAAUGUGUGUGAUGUCGCUACAUAUGUAUUUUGUUCCCGUAGCAACGCACGGGCACUUAACUAGUUUAUUUAUUAUGACUUGUUUUGUCAAUAAAAAUACUUUAACAAUGAUAUAUUUAUUUUAUUAUUUAAAAAGUUAAAAAUGAAAAGUUAGAAAUUAAAUAAAAUGAAACAUAUAUAUAUAUAUAUACAGAGAAGUAGCUAUAUAUCAAUUUUUAGGUUGUGGAGAUGAUGAAUUCUUGCAUGGCUGAAAGGACAAAGAUGAAAAGUGAAGAAGAAAAUAAUAAGAUUCUGCUGAAUGAGACUUGAGAGAGAAGAUUGCAAAAUCGCACGUGUUUAUUCAACAAUCCUUAUGUAUUGUCCACUUGUUGUUUAUAUGGUUACAACUUAGUUGGCUGUAAUUAUGAAGUAUGUAUGGACAUAGUACAAUUAUUGGUUAGUGUUCAUAUUGCCA